This 253-nucleotide ribosomal RNA is filed under the name uncultured bacterium. RNAcentral describes it as "partial 16S ribosomal RNA". It matches the Rfam family "Bacterial small subunit ribosomal RNA", at positions 524 to 776 of the family's 1533-position model. The record is from RNAcentral.
UACAGAGGUCUCAAGCGUUGUUCGGAUUCAUUGGGCGUAAAGGGUGCGUAGGUGGCGCGUUAAGUCAGGUGUGAAAUUUCGGAGCUUAACUCCGAAACUGCAUUUGAUACUGGCGUGCUUGGGGACUGGAGAGGAGACUGGAAUUCAUGGUGUAGCAGUGAAAUGCGUAGAGAUCAUGAGGAAGACCAGUGGCGAAGGCGGGUCUCUGGACAGUUCCUGACACUGAGGCACGAAGGCCAGGGGGGCAAACGGG